GAUGAACGCUGGCGGCGUGCCUAAUACAUGCAAGUCGAGCGAACAGACGAGGAGCUUGCUCCUCUGACGUUAGCGGCGGACGGGUGAGUAACACGUGGAUAACCUACCUAUAAGACUGGGAUAACUUCGGGAAACCGGAGCUAAUACCGGAUAAUAUAUUCAACCGCAUGGUUCAAUAGUUAAAGACGGCUUUGCUGUCACUUAUAGAUGGAUCCGCGCCGCCUUAGCUAGUUGGUAAGGUAACGGCUUACCAAGGGGACGAUGCGUGGCCGACCUGGGGGGUGGUCAGGCACAAUGGAACCGGGGACCGGUUCAGAAUUCUUAGGGGAGCAGGAGGUGGGGAAGCUGCCGCAAGGGCCGAAAGCCUGACGGGGCAACGCGGGGGGGUUAAGGAGGGUUUUCGGAUCGUAAAACUCUUUUAUGGGGAAAAAAAAAAGGAGUAAAUAACCAUGCAGGUCUGGAGGUAACCAAAGAAGAAGGCCCCGCUAAACUCGGU
This 496-nucleotide ribosomal RNA is filed under the name uncultured bacterium. Its description in RNAcentral is "partial 16S ribosomal RNA". It matches the Rfam family "Bacterial small subunit ribosomal RNA", at positions 28 to 507 of the family's 1533-position model. The record is from RNAcentral.